UCGAGUGGCGAACGGGUGAGUAACGCGUGAGGAACCUGCCUCAAAGAGGGGGACAACAGUUGGAAACGACUGCUAAUACCGCAUAAGCCCACGGCUCGGCAUCGAGCAGGGGGAAAAGGAGCAAUCCGCUUUGAGAUGACCCGCGUUGGAUUAGCUGGUUGGUGGGGUAACGGCCCACCAAGGCGACGAUCCAUAACCGGCCUGAGAGGGUGAACGGCCACAUUGGGACUGAGACACGGCCCACACUCCUACGGGAGGCAGCAGUGGGGAAUAUUGCACAAUGGGGGAAACCCUGAUGCAGCGACGCCGCGUGAAGGAAGAAGUAUCUCGGUAUGUAAACUUCUAUCAGCAGGGAAGAUAGUGACGGUACCUGACUAAGAAGCCCCGGCUAACUACGUGCCAGCAGCCGCGGUAAUACGUAGGGGGCAAGCGUUAUCCGGAUUUACUGGGUGUAAAGGGAGCGUAGACGGUGUGGCAAGUCUGAUGUGAAAGGCAUGGGCUCAACCUGUGGACUGCAUUGGAAACUGUCAUACUUGAGUGCCGGAGGGGUAAGCGGAAUUCCUAGUGUAGCGGUGAAAUGCGUAGAUAUUAGGAGGAACACCAGUGGCGAAGGCGGCUUACUGGACGGUAACUGACGUUGAGGCUCGAAAGCGUGGGGAGCGAACAGGAUUAGAUACCCUGGUAGUCCACGCCGUCAACGAUGAAUACUAGGUGUCGGGGAGCAUGGCUCUUCGGUGCCGUCGCAAACGCAGUAAGUAUUCCACCUGGGGAGUACGUUCGCAAGAAUGAAACUCAAAGGAAUUGACGGGGACCCGCACAAGCGGUGGAGCAUGUGGUUUAAUUUGAAGCAACGCGAAGAACCUUACCAAGUCUUGACAUCCUCCUGACCGGUCCUUAACCGGACCUUUCCUUCGGGACAGGAGAGACAGGUGGUGCAUGGUUGUCGUCAGCUCGUGUCGUGAGAUGUUGGGUUAAGUCCCGCAACGAGCGCAACCCCUAUCCUCAGUAGCCAGCAUUUAAGGUGGGCACUCUGGGGAGACUGCCAGGGAUAACCUGGAGGAAGGCGGGGAUGACGUUAAAUCAUCAUGCCCCUUAUGUCUUGGGCAACACACGUGCUACAAUGGACGGAACAAAGUGAGGCAAGACCGCGAGGUUAAGCAAAGCACAAAAACCCGUUCUCAGUUCGGAUUGUAGUCUGCAACUCGACUACAUGAAGCUGGAAUCGCUAGUAAUCGCGAAUCAGAAUGUCGCGGUGAAUACGUUCCCGGGCCUUGCACUCACCGCCCGUCA
RNAcentral lists this ribosomal RNA (1290 nucleotides) under uncultured bacterium. RNAcentral's name for it is "bacterial SSU rRNA". It matches the Rfam family "Bacterial small subunit ribosomal RNA", at positions 91 to 1399 of the family's 1533-position model. The record is from RNAcentral.